GAUGAACGCUGGCGGCGUGCCUAAUACAUGCAAGUCGAGCGAACAGACGAGGAGCUUGCUCCUCUGACGUUAGCGGCGGACGGGUGAGUAACACGUGGAUAACCUACCUAUAAGACUGGGAUAACUUCGGGAAACCGGAGCUAAUACCGGAUAAUAUAUUGAACCGCAUGGUUCAAUAGUGAAAGACGGUUUUGCUGUCACUUAUAGAUGGAUCCGCGCCGCAUUAGCUAGUUGGUAAGGUAAAGGCUUACCAAGGCGACGAUGCGUAGCCGACCUGAGAGGGUGAUCGGCCACACUGGAACUGAGACACGGUCCAGACUCCUACGGGAGGCAGCAGUAGGGUAUCUUCCGCAAUGGUCGAAAGCCUGACGGAGCAACGCCGCGUGAGUGAUGAAGGUCUUCGGAUCGUAAAACUCUGUUAUUAGGGAAGAACAAAUGUGUAAGUAAAUAUGCACGUCUUGACGGUACCUAAUCAGAAAGCCACGGCUAACUACGUG
RNAcentral lists this ribosomal RNA (497 nucleotides) under uncultured bacterium. Its description in RNAcentral is "partial 16S ribosomal RNA". It matches the Rfam family "Bacterial small subunit ribosomal RNA", at positions 28 to 507 of the family's 1533-position model. The record is from RNAcentral.